AACGAACGCUGGCGGCAUGCCUGACACAUGCAAGUCGAACGAGACCUUCGGGUCUAGGGGCGCACGGGGGCGUAACGCGGGGUAACCUACCCUUAGGUUCGGAAUAACUCCCCGAAAGGGGUGCUAAUACCGGAUAAUGUCAUCGGACCAAAGAUUUAUCGCCUUUGGAUGGGCCCGCGUUGGAUUAGCUAGUUGGUAGGGUAAAAGCCUACCAAGGCGACGAUCCUUAGCUGGUCUGAGAGGAUGAUCAGCCACACUGGAACUGAGACACGGCCCAGAAUGGUACGGGAGGCAGCAGUGGGGAGUAUAGGAGACUGGGCGAAAGCGUAACAACGCAAUGCCGGGUGAGUGAUGAAGGCGUUAGGGUUGUACAGCUCUUUUAGACGGGAUGAUAAUGACAGUAACGGGAGAAUAAGCACCGGCUAACUACGUG
This 433-nucleotide ribosomal RNA is filed under the name uncultured bacterium. RNAcentral's name for it is "partial 16S ribosomal RNA". It matches the Rfam family "Bacterial small subunit ribosomal RNA", at positions 29 to 507 of the family's 1533-position model. The record is from RNAcentral.